CCCAAUCUCUCGUGUAUCCACAUCACUACCAUCUAUAAGGUACCACCAAAAUAAAUAUUUAACUAUCUAUUUCAUACAACCAACAGCUGAAUAGAGACGAGAGGACAACGGCCACCGGCUGCUAGAAGACUGAGGUUAGACAUCUUACCAUCCUUAGAAAGUUGAGGUUUAGGUUCAGACAUGACCUCGGCGACAAAAGCUCCUACUCUGUGGCAUCGAUGAUGGAUUCGUCUCUUGGGCGACCAUGACAUCGACUCCACGGGCAGCUCCGGCUUUGGAAGAGGCCGCAAUUAUAGCCCUUGAUAGUUGUCUAUUAUCUCCUAUGCAAAAUGAGGCCCUAUGGCAGUGGUAGUUCACUCUUAGGGGAAUUGAGAAUUUUUGGUUGGUUCCUCACAAAUCCGCUGCCCUUGGACCUGUCAGUGCCCUUGUGUGCGAUGACAAUGACCUUGAGAAUCUCGAUGAAGCACUCAAAGUGACCGUGCAUGCCCUCAAUUCUCGAACACCUUCACGCAAUCUACAAAAUUAAAGGCAUUUUACCCGGUGCAACGGCAAAGAGUAUAAUUUCUCUAUUUUUUUUGCAGGGUAUAAUUUCUCUACUUAAUAUGUUAGUUAUAUGCUCAUAGGUCUAAAGAUGAAUGUGGGCGGACUGGGGACAAGGGGUAGAAUCCCAUUUGCCUAUAAUUGGUGAGGCAGCGGAGCAUGAUCCCUCGCGGCGGACCGGGGAACCCGCCUCUCCCGUUCAACCUGGCCCUCCAUGGAGACAAGCAAGCAUCUACCCCAUGCAGGCCAUCCAUGAGGAUGGCAGCUCGGGUUGUGCCUAGGAACCAAUCGUGGGGAAACCAAACGGGGGAGUUAGCUUGUGAAAAUUAAAAAAAUCAUGUGACAACCCAAAUAUUUUUGCCAAGUUUACAGAAUCAAUAGAUAAAAUAUUUGUUUUAGACCCACAAAAUAGGCUUACUCUCACACGAACGCUCCAACAAAUUAUCACUAGAAAGUGAAAUAACUGAAAUAUGUGUUCUUUCAACCUUAAUAUUUUUAUCAUUUACAAAAUAUAAGAUGAUAAGUCAAUUGACAACCAGACAAUGCUUAGAACAUGUCAAGAAAAUUUAAGUCUUGGGUAAAAAUUAAGAUUGAUGAAAACAUAGACUUUAGAUUACAAUAUAAGUGAGAAAAUUACAUAAGUCUUAUCUCGUCCAAUGCUGCGUCCAACUUCCUUCUAUAAAACUGCAGCUUGGACCAGAUUUUCUGAGAGCAAAAUAUAACGGAAUAGAAAUGCUUUCUAGAGGCAAGAAAACUCAAGAAUCCACUUAGAAAGCUAUAUAUGUGGACUACAACUGCCAAUGUAAAUGAACCUAUCUAAAAAGUGAAAACUACCUUUUCUAAGACAGGAAAUCUCAAGAAUACAAAGGGGAACAAUGUGUUGCAUGUGUACAUAUCUAAGAAGAUGCUAUUUUCUACACCCGAUUGUGAGUUCCCUAUUAUAUGAUGAAAAAAAUUAGUAAGUUGAGGUGUGAAUGUUUGAAAUUAGUGCUUUCGUUACAAACAAAAACUGGAAAAAUUCAUUCUUCAAUAUUCAUUACCUGCAAUGCAUGUGUUGUUGAUGUCUCUAGGGAAGAAAAUUACUCUAGGCCGUCAGAGUCUACUAGCUCUAAAUUUUGUAUGGAACACAGAAAAUCAAAAGAAUUAGAUCAAGACUUCAGUUACUAAAUGGUAGUAAAAUUUGCAAAAGUAGUAGAAGAAUGUAGUUUAAUGUAACGUCAGUAGAAGAAUGCAAGAUAAAACAUUACUAGUUAUGUAAAGAGUUGAAGAUAAUCAUUGUGGGAACUACAUGUCGAUGUUUUCUAUGAUUACUUAGCAUUCAGAACUCGGGAGGCUUGGCAAUGAGCGGAAAGGCAAGCACCUCUCUGACAGUAGCAGUGAGUAUUGGACAUCAAGGCUGCCAAGCCCGGCUAGGUUCGUUUCAACGUGCAUCCAUGAACACGAGUGCCCACUCUACCAGCGUUGUUGAUGCCAAUGCCUGAUGCCGAUGGGGAUGAUUAAAAGAAGGAAGGAAAUGAGGAGUACAUGUGGGAAACAAAUUCAUACCUGGUCUAAACUGGUGAGCUACACAAUCUACAGUUGCAAGGUCGGACCGUCGGAGAAGGUCGACAGAUGAUAGUGAAGAGAGAUGUCGAAGGGAACAGGAGGGGUCGGGCAUGGGAGAGGCAGAAGUGGCACCGUCGAGGCAAAGGAGACACAAUGGAGCAGGGGGAGGCACCACGGCGGCAGUAGGGGAAACAGAUCGAUGGCUUGCGGCGCCAUGGAUCGAGCCCUCCUUCUAUGAUGGAUUGAGCAUGCAGGAUUCUGAAAUUAACAACUUAGGAGUAACAGAGUUACAAAGCAUGUGCGAGGACCUCAUUCUCAGGCCGGGAAUGGAGGUUGACGAGGAGGAGGAUGAGGAGGCUUUGGUCAGGGGUAUGUG
RNAcentral lists this long non-coding RNA (2461 nucleotides) under Hordeum vulgare. Its description in RNAcentral is "long non-coding RNA (HVUL_LNC009267)". The record is from RNAcentral. Lineage: Eukaryota; Viridiplantae; Streptophyta; Magnoliopsida; Poales; Poaceae.